RNAcentral lists this ribosomal RNA (250 nucleotides) under uncultured bacterium. RNAcentral describes it as "partial 16S ribosomal RNA". It matches the Rfam family "Bacterial small subunit ribosomal RNA", at positions 57 to 305 of the family's 1533-position model. The record is from RNAcentral.
GCAAGUCGAACGGUAACAUUUCUAGCUUGCUAGAAGAUGACGAGUGGCGGACGGGUGAGUAAUGCUUGGGAAGCUGCCUAGAGGUGGGGGAUAACAGUUGGAAACGACUGCUAAUACCGCAUGUUUUCUUUGGAACAAAGCAGGGGCUCUUCGGACCUUGCGCCUUUAGAUGCGCCCAAGUGAGAUUAGCUAGUUGGUAGGGUAAAGGCCUACCAAGGCGACGAUCUCUAGCUGGUCUUAGAGGAUGACC